Molecule: long non-coding RNA, 1304 nt
Filed under: Dromaius novaehollandiae (emu)
Lineage: Eukaryota; Metazoa; Chordata; Aves; Casuariiformes; Dromaiidae
Description: lncRNA (ENSDNVG00000008412.1)
Source: RNAcentral
GUGCAUAUUGAUGCAAGUUCCCAGAUGACAUGAAGCACUGUAACCAGUGGGCCAUUUUAGAAAAGGAGAAGCCUUAUGGGAUCCCUUGAAGCAUACUGGAAGAUGUAUUGCUUCAGCAGCCCAGCCAAGAUCCUGAAUGGGCAAAGGUGCAUGAUUCAGUCACCUAUGAUCUGGGGAGGAUUUCAGAUACAUUUUUCACAGCGUUUCUGGAUCCUUUGCUUGAGGAACUCAUACGCUCAAGAAGCCUUAGCACCAGGACUUCCUGAAUCAGCAAUUGCCAACAAAGACAUGCCUUGUAUAACAUCCUUAUGUGAGGCCUGUAAAAAGCUCAGAACAAAUAAUUAAUGUUAUACUCUUACUGAAAACCUUUGUGAAGAUGGUCAGUACUAUCGAAGACGUAAAGCCAAUAGUAAACAUGUUACUUCAGAACUGAAUUGAAAGCAGACUCUUACUUUGACCAAAAGCACUACACUUGCUUUAUGUUUAUCAGCUUCUGUGCGAUUCAGAGCGCCAAGAUAAAUGAGUUGCCUGCUGGAAGGAGGCAUUGGAGAUACUGUGUGGAGCAGCUCUGACCUCGUCAAGGCUUUAUAUGGCUCCUGGACUUGCUGACAGCUGGGGUUGCACAGGCCUUUCCUCUCUCUUCCUUGGGGAAGCCUCUCUGCAUAUUGUACAAAGCUGUCACCUAAAUCAGGCUCUGUUCCUUCUGAGCAGAAAAGUUCGGAAGAUAGCUGAAACACAGGCAAAACCCACUCAGUUUCAAGGAAGAAGUGCCUUGUCUGAGACAGAUUUCUCCUCAGUAUUUUAAACAUCCUGAGGAAUGGAUAUUUUGGAAUCUGCGUGGCUUGGAAGCAGCCAUGGCCUUAAGAAUGCUCCUUAUGUCUUUUCAUACCAAUUUAUUAAUUUCAAACUUCAAAACUGAAGAGACGCUGAUCAGAUCUUGCUGGAAACUAAGACUUUACUCUAAGGACUUCACCUCAAGAUGCAGUGCAAGGUCCUGGCACACUCAAUCCUUUCCCUCCACUCCAAGGUAUAUUUUCUUCUAUUUCUUUCACUCAUUUUCUCUCUCAGUGUUUCUUUCAUCCAGCCCUGUUGGGGGAUCACCCAUGCUCUCUGCUGGUUUUUGGCAUUGUGCUGGGGAGAGGGCAGGGAGGUGCAGGUCAAGAAAGAGGAAAAGGUGUGUAGCUCACAGAGUGUAUUGUCCUUUACUGUAUUACAUAGGCAGAUGAUCCUACUGGCCAAUGUAAAGAAGCACAGAUGAUGUGAAACAGAGUGCAAGUUUAAAGGGCUUCCUCUUCAAGGAGAGG